CGAGACUGUCAUCUUACUAUUCUCUUUUUUGUCUGACUUCCUUAAGGCCUACAAAGUGUCUCACCCAGGCCCCUAUCUGUGGCCUUGAGUGAGCUGUAGCUGCACCUGCUGCUCCCCCAGUCCAGCCUUUAUUAUACCGGAAGCAUCAAACCUUGGUCUUUCAUCAGGCUCAAAUUCCCUAUUAAUACAGAACUGCAAGUUGUAUUCUCAAAUCAAUUUAUAUGCAUGAUCAUGACCCUGUUUGUAUCUGCCACUACAGUCCCCCCUUUGGUCCUUCUAAAAGGACCAACACUUCAAACUUUAACAUCAGGGAGUGCAGUCGUCUUAUCAUCAUAACAGAAACAACAGCCUGAGUAUACUGUAAAUGACACACGAUAUAUAUAGUUUCAAACAGUGUAAAUGCAACCCCAUCCUACGAGACUGAUAAUGAGUAUCAACCCACAGGGAAGUGCUUCAACUAUCAAGACGAUAGUUGAGAGCUCUCCCUGAGCCAUCUUCUGGACCUGCCCUCAAACAGAUGACCCAGUGAUAUUCAUUGACAGGUUUCUAUUCUGACCUGGCAACAUGACAGGGGAAACAUCCUCUCCAAUUAGCUGUUUAUGAGAGGUAAAAUGCCCCACCAUGUGGCCCACCAACUGACCUGUUCUGUUGGUGCAAACAUAAUAUGUGUACAUACAGCAUUAAAUCACACAUUGUGGUUAACUCUUUGAAGGCACUCGUGACUGUGACACACGUGAAUCAAACUCUUGAUGAAUUACACCAUUCAACACCUCAAGGUUUGUUUUUAAGCAUGCAUAACUAGGUAACUCGUGCUCAUGUGAAUAUAUCAUAGGUUUAAGAUUUUUUUUUUUUUUUUUUCAGAAAAGCACAAGAUUACAUAGACAAAUUCUUAAACCCUUUAGAAUUAGAAUAUUAUCUAGACACACUUUGUAAAGAUGAUCCCUCUUUGGUCAGUUCAGCAAACAUUAGAUCAGUAAUUAUUAGAUCAUUGACGUAAAACUCUCAUACCACCUUUUGUUUUUGUAAAAAAAUUUCUUCUGGUAUUUUUCCAAUGAUCCAAUUACAUAAAGACAGGUAAGAGCUCUAUCCAAUCUUAGCACCUGGACUUAAAUGACACGCUUGGGUUAUUUGUUAGCCUUGGUGACAUAUUACCCGUGGUGUUGCCUUGGUUAGUGUGGCGGCCCUAAGGCCAACAUUACACCAGAGUCCCUAUGAACUUACUGGUUUCCUGUAAACCACACUGGUUUAAUACAUUUCUUGUGCUUUUUAUGGCACUCAGCUUUCUGACGUGACCUUCACAAAUGAGUGCCCGCUUUUCUUCAUCAACACAUUUACAACAUUUGACUCUACAUAACUAUGUUGAAUACAAGGGAUCGUCGUACAAUUGUCGGAACAUAAUUUAUAAACCUGUCAGCCUGUCUCUCUCCUUGUACAGUAGUCUCUGUGUUGAUAGCUCACCCUUCUUCCUGGAGGGUGCAGGCACUGACAGAUACCUCUGCUCUGUUGUAUCCAUUUGGAUUGUUCCUCUGCAGGAGUGGACAGCAACCUUAGCCAGGCUCACAGCCUUGCUGGCACAUUUAUCUAAAUUACAUUUUGACCUCUAUCCAUGAUGUUGUCUUCCUAGCUGAUUAUCCACGGAGAGCUCAUCCUGUAGUUGUGGUUGGGCUAAUUGUUGAAGGGCUGGAUUCACACAUUUUUAUGGUGGUAGCAUUGCCCCCAUUGGUGGCCGGAUACCAGGUCUCAUUGCUGCACUUCAUUAGUCUCACCACGUCAGGUUGGUUGUGUUUCUCCAGGUUACAUACACCAACUCGUCCUCGUGCUACACAGAAAAGGAAGAUUAGUUUAUCAAGUUUACAUAGCUGUCAUUGUUUUUAAUUUUUCAUUGGCAUAUUUGAGAGUUGGAACUCCAUCUAUCCAAUUUCACUGCCAUGUGCACUGCACAACAAGCAAGACAUUCAGUUAUAUCCGAACAGUCACCUCUGUGACUUCCUGGCAGUGGUAUUCUUUUGACGUUUGUAACGUACAAUACACUCUUAUUGGUCUUUUUCUGUGCUUCUUAGUUUGGCCAAAUCUCUUUUUUCUCAGUUACUCUUUAGCCGAAUCCAUCUACUGGCUUCUAAAAGUUUCAUUUUCUGAUUGUUUCUGUGUCCUAACAUGACGUGUUUGUGCGUAUUACCUGUAAUGUCACCAUCCAUUCUCUUGACAGUCAGUGGUGCGGGGUAGUCCCACCCAAUGUUAACCUGGAGCGUUAGCUAUUGUGCCAUCGGUGGUUAGUGAACAACCAUAUGUGUCAGCUUUUACAUACAGAAGAUGUAGUAGUUCUCCCAUUUUCACUAUGCCCUUGUAAUUGUGGCUAAGGUGACCAUGGUAAGUGCACAGUUAACAUGUGGUGUGUUAAUAGUGGCACAUGUCAUUAGGACUUCUCUUUCUACCUCCCCCCUUGCGAAACCUGAAAGGGUUAGCACAAAAAGAAAGAAAACAAACAAAUUAAUCUGAGUCAGAGAACGCUCUGACUCUGGCCAGAAUUCAGGCGUGGACGGGUGGUGUAUAUCUUGCAGGCCGGACGGUCCUGCACGUGCGCUUUCCAGGGUGUCACUGCCCGUGGUUGUGCUGGUGGCAUCAUCCUCGGCAGCCUCUCCGACACUACUAUCAGUCUUUCACCUGUUGGAGGACACAUCUGUAGAUUUGAGUUAAACCCCAUAAAUAGUGCUGCUGAAGCGGUCCCUCUAUAGGGCCCCUGCACUGUGGCAGUGGCAUUGGGCAUCCAGUGAGCAUUUCAUGCAGGGUUAGAUGGGUUAGUCUGUUAGUUUGUGAGUGCAUAGACAUUAGUGCUAAUGGCAAAGCAUCUUCUCAGGUGAGUUUACCAUUACCAUCAGCCAUGAUUUUGGCUAUUUUAGUUUUUGAUAUACCACUGGCAUGUUCUACUGAACCUUGUGACUGUGGACAUGUUAUAUGUAUGUUUUUAUUAGAUGCUUGAUGUUUCUGUAGUUAAAAUGAUGAUUUUACUUCUUCUGUAACAGGUAUGUGAACUUUGAUGUGAAAAUCAUGAUGCAAUCAACACAGACACUUUAUAUAUAUGCUUUUUUGUAAAGGAUCUCAGUAUUUUCAACAUCAUUAUAUAUCAUUUCUAAUAUUUCAUGUAGCCCUGUCUAAAAUCAGUUAGGAUACAGUGCAUAAAAUCCAAUUCAAAGUAUUCUAAAAUGUUAUAUUAAAAAAAGUUCAUAAUAUUAAAAUGUAUGGUUAAAAUAUGUGCUGGAUAAAAAACUAUAAUAUGUAUAGUGUAUUAAAAGACAAUUUACAAUUCAAAGAUAAAUAUUCUAAAAAAGGUCAAGUUCAUUAAGUUGAAGAGAUGUGUGAUUCAGAGAACGUGAGAGGAAUAAGCAGUGUAAAUGCAAGUGUAAUCUAACAUGUUAUCUGUUUUGUGUCAGUCAUUUCAUUCCUGUGUUCCUAUUGGUUGUUAUCUAACUCACGAGCCAAUCAAGGUAAAUUCAUGGGGUGAGAGGCGGGACUAGUGGCGCAGGUUAGUUUGGUGCGUACGUGAGCAUGCGAGAGACAGAGAGCCACGAUCGAUCAGCGAGCUAAGACGGAGGCAUCGUGUGGGGAGCAUUUAAGUUUUAUCGUGGUGGAGGUCGACUACCCGUUGUCCUGAUAUAAACUUCUGUGUGACCUGCAAGAGGUGAAUAUAAUGUGUAUGCCUGUAUUUUGUGCUAUAUCUAACUGUUAUAGUCUAAUGACACUGUAUUGGGUAAAUGUGGUUAGUGACAUGCUAGCUAGCGAUAGCCGACAGUGCUAAUGUGUUUUUAUAUCAACGUUCUGUCCUAAGAUGUUAAUGAAAGUUAAAGCGAGCUAAUGCUAAUUCAAAAAGAGAUAGUGUUUUGUAUUGUGGCUCAGUGUAUGAUAAUAUGCUUAAAGGAGACGGACGUUGGAGAAGGAGAGAGAUUGAGACUGUCCAGACAGACGGCCCUGCUGUUUUUUAUUCUUCCUCGUGACUCUGCUGCUGAGCGCCAUUGCCCGUGUGUGUGCUGGAACUGUGACUGCCAUUGCCCUUAUGAGACUGCCAUCGUUUCCCCUUUCUAUCCCUACUAACAAACCAUUGGAUUCGUGAGUACUAACUGAAAACAGUUUGAAAGUGCACGUGCUUUUAUUUUUGCUCAGUUGAGUGAAGCGGCCAUUACAGUUUUUAGGCCCCACCGCACACAAGCCUCAUCCAUCAGGCCUGCAACGGGUUUGAGUGUAUUUUCUGGUGUGUUGUAUGUGAAUGUGUGUGGGCCCACCGGUACAACAAAAGGUAUUUUUGAAAAGUGAAAGAAGUGUUUUAUUUUCUUAUUUGAGGUAUUCAUUUUUAUUAUACAAGGGUACAAAGUGAAAGGCUUUUAUUUUGAAACCAAAAGGGAAGUAACCUGUGAAAGAGCUGUGAACUUUGUCUAUAACUUGUCUCUUUAUGCCCUAAUAACAUAUUUUCCUAUUUUACUUUUUUUGUCAAUUGUGUAAAUAAAUACCGGUGAGAGUUUAUAUUUAAAGUACAAUUGUGGUGGUCAUUAUUAAAAUAGCAUUAUUGAAAUAACAUUCAUUAUUAAAGUAAUAUUCAUUAUUAAAUUUAGUUGUAUUUUCCUACAACGAGCCCAGGCCCAGUCUCAUUGUAUUAACCAUUCUAGCUUUUCUUUUAACUACAUGGGACCUGGGUUACAUAAAUGGAGGCACCGCUGGGAUCUCAAUUAACAUAAAGUAAAAAAAAAAUUGAUAACAUUGACCCCACAACUUUAAAGCUUUAAUGUAAAAGUAACGUGCUAACAGUAAUUAAAAUCAAGUGCAAUAAUGGCAAGUCAAACAAGCAGUCCGUCACAAAUGGAACUAAUUAACUGGUGUAAAGGAGAGUCCGUAGAAGUAAAACAUUCCCUCCUGUUAUAUGGAGUGCCUGAAGAGAGUUCUGAAAAAGACAUUGAAGAAACAGCAGGGACCAUCAAAGCAUUGGGGAAAGUUAGAGUUAGGGGCAAAAUGUUUAACCCUCAACAGCAAUCACUCAUGGUGCUAUGUGAGUGUAGUGAAGAAAUAGACCCCUCCAGAAUUCCCCCUGAGAUUAUGCCUGUGAAUGGCGGAAGCAGUUGGAAAGCUGUCUACUACAUCGAGCCUCAGCUUGAUAAAUUUGAAGACAAAUUGCUCACCUUUCUGCAAAGUGAAGGGAAAACAUUGGAGGACAUUCAAGAUCUAUGCACCCCCACCAAGGAGGGUAACAGCAACCCAGAAGACAUCAUCCGUGCGGUCGGUGAUGUUUUGAACAGGAGCAACAAACAGUCUGACAGUCAGACAUACAGACGUCUGCGGACAUUUUCCGGGGUCAGUCCCACCCCCGCUGGAGAAGAGUCCUUAGACAAUUGGUUGGAGCAUGCAACACUCUUGAUAACAGAAGGUGAGUGCUCAGACAAAGAGAAACGACGUCGGAUAUUGGAAAGUCUCAAAGGGCCCGCCUUUGAAAUCAUUCAAGCUGUGCGUCUGACUCAACCUGAUGCUAGCCCCCAUGAGUACAUAGAGGCUAUAGAGAGCAUUUUUGGUACCGUAGAGACUGGAGAAGAACUAUAUUUGGCAUUUAGAGCCCUUCGCCAACAGCCUGGUGAACGUCUAUCAGAGUUUCUGCGAAGAUUAGAGAAAUCUCUUGUCAAAGUAGUACGAGCAGGUGGCUUACCUGUUAGCGCUGCCAAUAGUGCUCGCUUAGAACAGCUCAUCAGAGGAGCCACCUCAGAGGUCAUGUUGCUACAGCUGAAAAUUAGGGAGCGGAGCAGUAAUCCCCCUACCUUCCUGACCCUGUUACGAGAAGUAAUGGAAGAGGAAGCCCGCCAGUCAGCCAAACAGAACCAAGUGGCACCCAUGCGUCCCCAGCGUGUACGCACUGUCCAAGCAGAAAAAGAAACAGAACCAGACUCAGCGGCUCAGAGUACACUGCAAGCCCAGAUUCAAGAGUUGAGAGCGCAGUUAGCAGAAAGAAACAACUCAUGGCCACAGUCGUCAUCUGAUGAUUCCUUUAAAGGUCCGAAAGAGAAAACAAAGCAGAAAAAUGAGUCGCAGAGUGAGCUACAAUCACUAAGAAAACAAGUGCAAACCCUAGAAAGUAAGAUUAGUGUAAUGGCAGUAAAAUACACAUCAGAUCCCCCACGAGAACACACACCACAGCCCCACCGAUACAAAGCCGCUCCAGGUAACAAGUCUGCUCCUCCCAAAGUGCCAUCUUCCAAAGACAAUGAUGAGUACUUUUGCUACCGGUGUGGGGAAAAUGGUCACAUAGCUCCUAGAUGCACUGCACCUGAGAACUCCCAGAAAGUUAUUCGAAAGCUCAUACGCUUGGUGCGAGGUUCCCCUGGCCCCAAACAAGAGAGCCCAAAGCCCGCUGCUGAAGAGCAGUGUGUAGCUAGAGUAAACAAAGUUGAAGUCCCAGAGAAUAACACUGUCCUACCUGAGGGUCUUGUAGGUCCAUCCUUUAUCCAUACCAUCAAAGUCAAUGAUGUGGUCUGCGAUGCUCUCAUUGAUAGUGGGUCUAAUGUGACUAUCAUUUUUGAAAACUGGUUUGAUGAACACUUACCGGGUGUCCCCCUAAACCCCCUCUCUGGCCUUGGCCUAUGGGGUCUCGCUGACUCAAAGUAUCCUUACAAAGGCUACGUUGUUGUAGAGAUGGAGUUCCCUGAGGAGAUCACUGGUGUGUCAGGACCGAUAGAAGUGCUCGCAUUGAUUUGUCCAGAGCUAAAAAACCAACAACAGACCCCUGUGCUGGUCGGAACCAAUACAUCUCUGUUCCGCCGCCUAUGGGAGCUGGUUAAGACAAAGAGUGAUAAGCAUACUGUGCACUCCAUGCGAAUCCAGUCUGUGUACGCCCCUGUUAAUGCGCAAGAACAGCUAGCCAAGAAUGAAGUCUUGGGCCAGCUAAAGUGGAAAGGCCCCGGUCCACUCUCGAUAGCUCCAGGAGCACAGUACUAUGCAACCUGCAAAGUGGAAAGACUGAGUGCUCCAUCCAAAGACCUUGUGCUGAUUGAUGCACCCACAGCCCAGUUACUCCCUGCCAGUGUGCUGGUAAAGCCUGGUGUGCUCUCAGAUGCUGAUAUUGACAGCAACAGUUUCACUGUGCUCAUGCAGAAUGAGUCCAAGAAAACAACCUCUAUCCCAGUGGGGACUGUAGUUGCCGAAAUGUAUGCUGUGGACACAGUUACCCCAGUCCAGCCGUCCGACCUCGCAGCUGAAACCCUGGACCCAAGCCUCUUCAAUUUCGGGAAUUCCCCUAUCCCCGAGGAGUGGAAGAGUCGGCUUCAGCAGAAGUUAGCUGAAAGGCGGAAUGUUUUCUCGUUGCAUGAAUGGGAUGUUGGCUUGGCUAAGGGAGUUGAACACCGCAUACGCCUGCAUGACCCCCGAUCCUUCAGAGAAAGGUCAAGGAGACUAGCUCCUGCAGACAUUGACGAUGUAAGGCGACAUAUACAGCAGAUGCUGGCCGCUGGAAUCAUCACCGAGUCCCGCAGUCCCUACGCCUCACCAAUCGUCGUAGUCCGGAAGAAGAACGGGACUAUAAGAAUCUGUAUAGACUACAGAACGCUCAACAACCGCACCACACCAGACCAGUACACAAUGCCACGCAUCGACGACGCCCUGGAUUCCUUGUCAGGUAGCCAAUGGUUCUCAGUGCUGGAUCUGCGUAGUGGCUACUACCAGAUAGAGAUGGCUGAAGAGGAUAAAGAAAAGACAGCAUUUAUUUGUCCUCUUGGUUUCUAUCAAUUUGAGCGCAUGCCACAGGGCAUCACAGGAGCGCCAGCCACAUUUCAGCGCGUGAUGGAGAAAGCUGUCGGAGAUAUGCAUCUUCUGGAAGUCCUUGUGUACUUGGACGAUAUCAUUGUGUUUGGCAAAACACUCGAAGAGCAUGAGCAACGUCUUCUCAAAGUGCUGGAUAGGCUAGAGGAGAUCGGGUUAAAAGUGUCUAUUGACAAAUGUCAAUUCUGCCAGCCUCAGGUUAAGUACGUGGGUCAUAUUGUUUCUGUCGAUGGGAUAGCUACAGAUCCAGAGAAGGUUGAAGCCGUCAAACAUUGGAAAGCACCCACUCACCUGAAGCCUCUCAAGUCCUUUCUCGGAUUCUGCAGUUACUACCGGAGGUUUAUCGCAAACUACUCCGCCAUCAUUCGUCCUCUUUCUGAGCUCACCAAGGGAUAUGCCCCCACGUGGCAAGGCCCCAAACCCAAAAAGAGUGUGGACUCAGUCAAAGACUAUUUCAAACCAUCAGAGCCCUUUGGAGAUCGUUGGACUCCAGCCUGUCAGGAAGCCUUUGAGCGGAUCCGUGACUGUUUGAUCAACGCCCCUGUGUUGGCAUUCGCUGACCCCACCAAGACCUACAUCUUGCAUGUUGACGCCAGUAUGAAUGGGUUAGGCGCUGUCCUAAACCAGGAAUAUCCUGAGGGCCUUCGGCCUGUAGCGUUUGCCAGUCGGAAGCUUAAAGACUCAGAGCAUAACUAUCCAGUCCAUCAGUUGGAAUUUCUGGCACUAAAAUGGGCUGUCGUGGACAAGUUUCAUGACUACUUGUAUGGUGCCAAGUUUAUUGUAAGAACUGACAACAACCCAUUAACAUAUGUGUUGACCUCUGCCAAACUCAGUGCUGUUGGACACCGUUGGCUCGCCGCCCUUGCUACCUAUGAUUUCACCAUCCAGUAUCGUCCUGGGAGGCAAAACAUCGAUGCUGACCUGCUGUCUCGACAGUACACUUCAGACGAGGCUAAAGAAUGGACAAGUGUCCCACCUGAUGGCAUCAAAGCCCUCUGCAAACGUGCCUGCAUCAGUCAAGAAACAGAUGUGACUGACAGAUUGGUGGAUCAGCUGGGAGCUCCUGCCACAGCAGUACCAGAAGCCUAUGUGUUCCCAGUGAACCUUAGCUUAAACACCCUUGACCAGCUGAGCCCGAAAGAUAUCCAGGCAGCACAAGAUAUGGACCCAGCAAUUGGGCCACUGAAGAAAGCCAUGGAGAAGAAAAAAGUGCUGACUCGCUCCCAAAAUGAUUCGCCUGAGACUGUGUUGUUGCUAAGAGGAAGCCGCAAGUUGGAGUUGAAGGACGGAUUACUCUACAGAGUAAGAGAGAAAAUGUGUGGAAAACAGAUCAAACAACUUGUCUUGCCCGCAAGAUACCGACCGAUGGUGUUAAGAUCUUUGCAUGAUGAAUGUGGACACAUGGGAGUGGAGCGCACUACUGAACUGGUCAAAGACAGAUUUUAUUGGCCGCGAAUGACAGCUGAGGUUGAGGAGUUCAUUCGAACCUGUGGAAGAUGUAUCUCCAGGAAGACACUCCCUCAGCAUGCCGCGCCCUUGAAUCAAAUAACAAGUAAUGGUCCUUUAGAUUUAGUAUGUAUAGACUUUCUGCAGCUAGAGCCUGACUCUAAAGGUGUUACUAAUGUGUUAGUAGUGACAGAUCAUUACACACGCUACGCACAAGCGUUUGCCACCAAAGAUCAAAAGGCAAUCACUGUUGCAAGAGUAUUGUGGGAGAAGUAUUUUGUGCACUACGGCCUACCUGCGCGGAUACACUCAGAUCAGGGCCGAGAUUUCGAAAGUCGACUGAUCAAAGAGCUCCUGUCCAUGCUUGGGGUUCGGAAGUCACGCACAUCCCCCUACCACCCUCAAGGAGAUGCGCAACCAGAAAGGUUCAAUCGAACGCUCCUUGCAAUGCUUGGUACCCUGGACACUGUGAAGAAACAAUGCUGGAGCCAGCAUAUCACCUACCUGGUACAUGCGUACAACUGCACAAGAAAUGAUUCCACAGGAUACUCACCAUAUCAGCUCAUGUUUGGGAGAGAAGCUAGGUUGCCCAUUGACAUCUGUUUUGGAAUCUCGCCAAAUGGUGAAAGUGAGUCCUCUUACCAGCAGUACAUUACCAGGAUGAGAAAGGAGUUGCAAAAAGCUUAUCAACUAGCAUCUGACGCUGCUACAAAGAGUCACCUGAAAAACAAAGCACGCUAUGACAAUCGUGUGAGAGACUUACCUUUGGAGAAAGGAGACAGGAUCCUCAUUCAGAAUGUGGGCCUAAAAGGAAAGCAUAAACUUCAAGAUCGAUGGAAAUCAACGCCGUAUGUUGUUUUGGAGAAGCUGCCCAACCUGCCAGUCUACAAGGUCAAACCAGAGCAUGGUCCAGGUGUCGUCAAAACUCUCCAUCGAGACCACCUGUUGCCUAUCGGAUACAUGGUCAGGAUGUCAAACCUGCCAGAUGACAAGGAACUCACUCGGAGACCCGUCACAAGAGCUCAGCUUACUCAGCAACAUCGAGCAACCAAGUCUACUGACCCAGUAGAGGAAAGUGAUGCCGAGUCAUCAGGCUCAGAGUUUGAGACGGUCCAUAAUCCACCUGAUUUGGAUGUGGAGGAAAUUCAGAGACAGCUGGCAGCUGAAAAUCAAACCUCGGAAGAGGAUGAAAGAUCUGAAGAACACUGUGAAGCUACAGAAAAUCAACAGCUCACAGAAACAGAGUAUGAGGAAUUGUCUGAGGGUGUUGAACCUACUCAGUCAGACUCAGACGUCAGAGAAACAAAUAAUGAUUCUGUGGAAGAACAAGAUGUAGAAAGUAGAGCAAGCUCACCUAUGUCAAACAGGAUCAGGAAUGAAAAACCUUCUAAAAACCAAAGAAAUGAGAGUGAGGAAUCGUCCACAGUCAGAAGAUCUCGGAGACAACCGAAACCAACUGUGAGAUUAACCUAUGAAAAGCCUGGUCAACAAUCCUGUGAACCAGUUACCAUUAUGCACCAUGGUAUGGUCAUUCAACUCAAGUUAAACCCUCCAGACCAAGUCACUGAACCAAGAAAAAGGUGCAGAACAUCUAAAAGGCGUGAAGAGGAAAAAGAAAUAAGGGAUCACUCUUCCAAGUCAAAGAGAGAAAAAAAAAGGUGUGAUGAGGACAUCUACACGGUCAGAAGGGGGAGGGUGUAGCCCUGUCUAAAAUCAGUUAGGAUACAGUGCAUAAAAUCCAAUUCAAAGUAUUCUAAAAUGUUAUAUUAAAAAAAGUUCAUAAUAUUAAAAUGUAUGGUUAAAAUAUGUGCUGGAUAAAAAACUAUAAUAUGUAUAGUGUAUUAAAAGACAAUUUACAAUUCAAAGAUAAAUAUUCUAAAAAAGGUCAAGUUCAUUAAGUUGAAGAGAUGUGUGAUUCAGAGAACGUGAGAGGAAUAAGCAGUGUAAAUGCAAGUGUAAUCUAACAUGUUAUCUGUUUUGUGUCAGUCAUUUCAUUCCUGUGUUCCUAUUGGUUGUUAUCUAACUCACGAGCCAAUCAAGGUAAAUUCAUGGGGUGAGAGGCGGGACUAGUGGCGCAGGUUAGUUUGGUGCGUACGUGAGCAUGCGAGAGACAGAGAGCCACGAUCGAUCAGCGAGCUAAGACGGAGGCAUCGUGUGGGGAGCAUUUAAGUUUUAUCGUGGAGGUCGACUACCCGUUGUCCUGAUAUAAACUUCUGUGUGACCUGCAAGAGGAGACGGACGUUGGAGAAGGAGAGAGAUUGAGACUGUCCAGACAGACGGCCCUGCUGUUUUUUAUUCUUCCUCGUGACUCUGCUGCUGAGCGCCAUUGCCCGUGUGUGUGCUGGAACUGUGACUGCCAUUGCCCUUAUGAGACUGCCAUCGUUUCCCCUUUCUAUCCCUACUAACAAACCAUUGGAUUCGUGAGUACUAACUGAAAACAGUUUGAAAGUGCACGUGCUUUUAUUUUUGCUCAGUUGAGUGAAGCGGCCAUUACAGUUUUUAGGCCCCACCGCACACAAGCCUCAUCCAUCAGGCCUGCAACGGGUUUGAGUUUAUUUUCUGGUGUGUUGUAUGUGAAUGUGUGUGGGCCCACCGGUACAACAAAAGGUAUUUUUGAAAAGUGAAAGAAGUGUUUUAUUUUCUUAUUUGAGGUAUUCAUUUUUAUUAUACAAGGGUACAAAGUGAAAGGCUUUUAUUUUGAAACCAAAAGGGAAGUAACCUGUGAAAGAGCUGUGAACUUUGUCUAUAACUUGUCUCUUUAUGCCCUAAUAACAUAUUUUCCUAUUUUACUUUUUUUGUCAAUUGUGUAAAUAAAUACCGGUGAGAGUUUAUAUUUAAAGUACAAUUGUGGUGGUCAUUAUUAAAAUAGCAUUAUUGAAAUAACAUUCAUUAUUAAAGUAAUAUUCAUUAUUAAAUUUAGUUGUAUUUUCCUACAACGAGCCCAGGCCCAGUCUCAUUGUAUUAACCAUUCUAGCUUUUCUUUUAACUACAUGGGACCUGGGUUACAUUCAGUUCUAAUAUUAGCUUUGAAUUUCUUUGUUAUGAACACACCAUUUGGGCAAUAGAGUAGGUUGGUCAAAUGCUACUUGAUUAACAACAGCCUUCUUCAGCUCACACCCUGUAACUCCAAAGAACAGAUCAUAGCGUUUACUUGAAUAUAAACUGGCUUAAACUGUAUUUGCAACACAAUUGGUUAUAAUAUUUGAAAUAGCAGCUUAUAUGUAAUCGUCGUAAAUUGUAUAUAUCACUUGCAUAUAGGUAUUCACUUCAGACAACAACCACUAAUGAGACAGCAUGCUGAAAGGAGCUUGAAAAACAACAACAACAAAAAAAUACACAACAAAACCUUGAUGUACUAAAAAAGGAAAAGUUCACUGAGCUUGGACCCAGUCGACAGCGAGGAGAGAAAGGGAGGGUGAUUACGUCACACCGGACGUGCAGUAGAGCGGGGGGCGCUAGCAUCCCCCCUCUCACACACACCAGGGGAGGAGCAAUGGAGCUGCAGUUUGAAACACAACUUUUCAGCACACAACUCCCUCAGCCAUCAGCGAGAUAGGAACCCGCUCUUAAAACAAUAUAAAACCUGCCCGGGGAUGUGUCUCCUCGGCUGUAACCUCAACCGACCGUCACUUGGAUUCCUUAUCUCAACGACACUUUACACAUGCAUUUAUAAACUCUUAGCCUGCACGAAUAGUAUUCAUAAGUCAAAAACAACACACAAGAACAACCAUCUCAUAAAUCACAUUCAAUACUAAUAUAUCUAUUAGCACACACAUUUUAGACCAGAACUAUCAAGUUUGUCUAAUAACCUUCACAUCGUUUGAGUACUGCAACACACUUAACCACUUAUUAACAGUAAUACAAAGCUCUUUAGAACAGCAAAAAUGUCUCCAAUGUCUGACAGUUACAUCAGCACCAAAUCACACAACACUGCAAAAUAGCACAAUUUAUUUUAGGAAACACUAAUUUUUCCAGUAGAUUCUUCAACACACACUCAAGACACAGGUAGUUGACAACACACAGUCAACAACCUCAUACACUACUUUUUUACUUUAUUAAACCCCCAUAAGAAUGUUCGAACAUUUAUUGUUGGUUUAACUGAAACUUUUUUGUUGGUCUUCGAUUUUUGUUAACAACUAUUAUCGUUGUUUAUUUUCAGUUCAGAUUGUUUUUUUUUUGUGUGUUUUUUUCAGUUUUGGUUCUCGCAUGCAUUAUUCUCACAUUUCCUUUAAUUUAGACUUUAAUUUACCUUGCUUUUUGAUUAUUUAUCCGAUGUUUGCCGUCCAUGGACUUAAGGCUGUAUUUUAACCUGCAUUUCUCUGUCCUACAAAUACCCUUUUCUUUUCUCUUAGCCCAAAUUGAAGAGUGCUCUUUUUUUUUUUUUU
This is an RNA transcript of Acanthopagrus latus (yellowfin seabream), 13613 nucleotides long. RefSeq lists it as uncharacterized. Lineage: Eukaryota; Metazoa; Chordata; Actinopteri; Spariformes; Sparidae. The transcript has 2 exons. The record is from RefSeq and is a predicted model, not a curated record.